AGUGAACGCUGGCGGCAGGCCUAACACAUGCAAGUCGAGCGGCAGCGGGUUCCCGCGAGGGGAUGCCGGCGAGCGGCGGACGGGUGAGGAACACAUCGGAAUCUGCCUGGUUGUGGGGGAUAACGUAGGGAAACUUACGCUAAUACCGCAUGAGACCCUGAGUCGACGGACUGGGGGUGAAAGUGAGGGACCUUCGGGCCUCACGCGACCAGAUGAGCCGAUGUCGGAUUAGCUAGUUGGCGGGGUAACGGCCCGCCAAGGCGACGAUCCGUAGCUGGUCUGAGGAGGA
This 289-nucleotide ribosomal RNA is filed under the name uncultured bacterium. RNAcentral's name for it is "partial 16S ribosomal RNA". It matches the Rfam family "Bacterial small subunit ribosomal RNA", at positions 30 to 300 of the family's 1533-position model. The record is from RNAcentral.